Molecule: ribosomal RNA, 503 nt
Filed under: uncultured bacterium
Lineage: Bacteria
Description: partial 16S ribosomal RNA
Rfam family: Bacterial small subunit ribosomal RNA
Source: RNAcentral
AUCGAACGCUGGCGGCAGGCUUAGCACAUGCAAGUCGAGCGGGGUGAUGGUGCUUGCACUAUCACUUAGCGGCGGACGGGUGAGUAAUGCCUAGGAAUCUGCCUAUUAGUGGGGGACAACAUCUCGAAAGGGAUGCUAAUACCGCAUACGUCCUACGGGAGAAAGCAGGGGAUCACUUGUGACCUUGCGCUAAUAGAUGAGCCUAAGUCGGAUUAGCUAGUUGGGGGGGUAAAGGCCUACCAAGGCGACGAUCUGUAGCGGGUCUGAGAGGAUGAUCCGCCACACUGGGACUGAGACACGGCCCAGACUCCUACGGGAGGCAGCAGUGGGGAAUAUUGGACAAUGGGGGGAACCCUGAUCCAGCCAUGCCGCGUGUGUGAAGAAGGCCUUAUGGUUGUAAAGCACUUUAAGCGAGGAGGAGGCUCUUUUGGUUAAUACCCAAGAUGAGUGGACGUUACUCGCAGAAUAAGCACCGGCUAACUCUGUGCCAGCCGCCGCAGUAA